AACGAACGCUGGCGGCAUGCCUAACACAUGCAAGUCGAACGAAACCUUCGGGUCUAGUGGCGCAUGUGGGCGUCACGCGUGGGAACCUUCACUUAGGUUCCGCAUAACUCCCCGAAAGGGGUGCUAAUACCGGAUAAUGUCUUCGGACCAAAGAUUUAUUGCCUUUGGAUGGGCGCGCGUUGGAUUAGCUGGUUGGUAGGGUAAAAGCCUACCAAGGCGACGAUGCAUAGCUGGGCUGAGAGGAUGCUCACCGACACUGAGACUAAGACACGGCCCAGAAUCUUACGGAAGGGGGGAGUGGGGAAUAUAGCAAAAGGGGGGGAAGGAUGAAGGAGCUAUGACGGGUGAGUGAUGAUGGGAUUAGGGAAGUAAAGUUCUUUUACCCGGGAUGGUAAUGACGGUACCGGGAGAAUAAGCACCGGCUAACUACGUG
RNAcentral lists this ribosomal RNA (433 nucleotides) under uncultured bacterium. RNAcentral describes it as "partial 16S ribosomal RNA". It matches the Rfam family "Bacterial small subunit ribosomal RNA", at positions 29 to 507 of the family's 1533-position model. The record is from RNAcentral.